AUUUUAUACUCAUCAGUGGUUUAUCCUCAUAACUAUGGUUUCAUCCCUCGCACAUUGUGUGAAGACAAUGAUCCCUUGGAUGUUUUAGUUCUCAUGCAGGUGAAUUGCAUUAUUCAGUAUAAGUUUUGUAUCUCGGAUUAAGUUGCAAUUUAGUUCUUUGAUCCCAAUUGAUAUGUGUAAGCUUUCAUUUUGACACAGUGAUCCACCUGAAUUGUUUGUCUAAUUAGCAGCCUGUCCUUCCGGGUUGCUUUCUGCGAGCCAGAGCCAUUGGACUUAUGCCCAUGAUUGACCAGUGAGA
RNAcentral lists this unclassified non-coding RNA (298 nucleotides) under Hevea brasiliensis (rubber tree). The record is from RNAcentral. Lineage: Eukaryota; Viridiplantae; Streptophyta; Magnoliopsida; Malpighiales; Euphorbiaceae.